GCUGUUAAUUCCAUAAUAUCAAUGCAUUAGGAACACUGCACAUUCAAUUUCAAAUCAAAAAUUGAUCAACAUUUUGUGUUAUACCUUUACAGAAAGUGAAGAAAAAGGAAUGUUAGGCUUUUCAAAAAAUUAACAGCAUUUUCGAUGUCACCCCACAAAUUUUCUAUAGAAAAAUGCAAACACUGCUAUUUUUUGAACAGCUUAA
This is a long non-coding RNA of Alosa sapidissima (American shad), 205 nucleotides long. RefSeq lists it as uncharacterized. The record is from RefSeq and is a predicted model, not a curated record. NCBI's taxonomy places the organism in Eukaryota, Metazoa, Chordata, Actinopteri, Clupeiformes, Clupeidae. The transcript has 3 exons.